Molecule: long non-coding RNA, 262 nt
Filed under: Homo sapiens (human)
Lineage: Eukaryota; Metazoa; Chordata; Mammalia; Primates; Hominidae
Description: non-protein coding lnc-ANKRD20A8P-16:1
Source: RNAcentral
ACAGCUAGAUAGGAGGAAUGAGUACAUCUAUGACACCAAGCUGGGAAUCGACAAGUGUGACAACUCCUCCAUGUCCCUGAAGAUGGGAUACAGUCAGGGCGCUCAUCAGAGCAGCCAGGCCUUCGGCCUGGGCCCACAGAUAUACGACCCCAAGUACUACUGGGGAGGCCCAGUGGCCCAUGGCGCUCCCUCGGGCUCCGGUGACUUCCCGGGGCCAGGGGAGGCCCCUGAAUAUCUCCCUUACCACCAGGAGGAGACCGGC